GACGUAGGGCGCGAGCGUUGUCCGGAUUUAUUGGGCGUAAAGAGCUCGUAGGUGGCUUGUCGCGUCGUCCGUGAAAACUUGGGGCUCAACCCCAAGAUUGCGGUCGAUACGGGCAGGCUGGAGUUCGGUAGGGGAGACUGGAAUUACUGGUGUAGCGGUGAAAUGCGCAGAUAUCAGGAGGAACACCGAUGGCGAAGGCAGGUCGCUGGGCCUCUACUGACGCUGAGAAGCGAAAGCAUGGGGAGCGAACAGG
Molecule: ribosomal RNA, 253 nt
Filed under: uncultured bacterium
Lineage: Bacteria
Description: partial 16S ribosomal RNA
Rfam family: Bacterial small subunit ribosomal RNA
Source: RNAcentral